This 643-nucleotide ribosomal RNA is filed under the name uncultured Vagococcus sp. RNAcentral describes it as "bacterial SSU rRNA". It matches the Rfam family "Bacterial small subunit ribosomal RNA", at positions 1 to 652 of the family's 1533-position model. The record is from RNAcentral. Lineage: Bacteria; Bacillati; Bacillota; Bacilli; Lactobacillales; Enterococcaceae.
CGCCCUUAGAGUUUGAUCAUGGCUCAGGACGAACGCUGGCGGCGUGCCUAAUACAUGCAAGUCGAACGCAGCUUGCUUUGGUAAGAUGAGUGGCGAACGGGUGAGUAACACGUGGGUAACCUGCCUAUCAGAGGGGGAUAACACUUGGAAACAGGUGCUAAUACCGCAUAGAUUUCUUUCGCAUGAAAAGAGAGGAAAGACGUACGUGUCACUGAUAGAUGGACCCGCGGUGCAUUAGCUAGUUGGUGAGGUAACGGCUCACCAAGGCCAUGAUGCAUAGCCGACCUGAGAGGGUGAUCGGCCACACUGGGACUGAGACACGGCCCAGACUCCUACGGGAGGCAGCAGUAGGGAAUCUUCGGCAAUGGACGAAAGUCUGACCGAGCAACGCCGCGUGAGUGAAGAAGGUUUUCGGAUCGUAAAACUCUGUUGUUAGAGAAGAAUAGGUAGGAGUGACUUCCUGCCAUGACGGUAUCUAACCAGAAAGCCACGGCUAACUACGUGCCAGCAGCCGCGGUAAUACGUAGGUGGCAAGCGUUGUCCGGAUUUAUUGGCGUAAGCGAGCGCAGGUUUCUUAAGUCUGAUGUGAAAGCCCCCGGCUUACCGGGGAGGGUCAUUGGAAACUGGGAGACUUGAGUGCAGA